Molecule: transfer RNA, 75 nt
Filed under: Pangasianodon gigas (Mekong giant catfish)
Lineage: Eukaryota; Metazoa; Chordata; Actinopteri; Siluriformes; Pangasiidae
Also listed under: 1 other name
Description: tRNA-Lys
Rfam family: tRNA
About the family: Transfer RNA (tRNA) molecules are approximately 80 nucleotides in length. Their secondary structure includes four short double-helical elements and three loops (D, anti-codon, and T loops).
Source: RNAcentral
CGCUAAGAAGCUAAAUAGGAAAAUAGCACUAGCCUUUUAAGCUAGAGAUUGGUGAUUUCCAACCACCCUUAGCGA